RNAcentral lists this ribosomal RNA (257 nucleotides) under uncultured bacterium. RNAcentral describes it as "partial 16S ribosomal RNA". It matches the Rfam family "Bacterial small subunit ribosomal RNA", at positions 524 to 776 of the family's 1533-position model. The record is from RNAcentral.
UACGUAGGGUGCAAGCGUUGUCCGGAAUUAUUGGGCGUAAAGAGCUCGUAGGCGGUUUGUCGCGUCGAAUGUGAAAACCCGGGGCUCAACCCCGGGCCUGCAUUCGAUACGGGCAGACUAGAGUUCGGUAGGGGGAGUCUGGAAUUCCUGGUGUAGCGGUGAAAUGCGCAGAUAUCAGGAGGAACACCGGUGGCGAAGGCGGGACUCUGGGCCGAUACUGACGCUGAGGUGCGAAAAGCGUGGGGGGAGAAAACAGG